RNAcentral lists this non-coding RNA (129 nucleotides) under Ctenophora environmental sample. Lineage: Eukaryota; Metazoa; Ctenophora. The record is from RNAcentral.
UUUUUUUUUUUUUUUUUUUUUUUUCUAAUUCAUAAAAUAUAAACUAAAGUUAGAAUUUGUUCACUUUUUCUUAGUAGGACGUCGGUCACAAGGCAUGAGAUCUGGAUUUUUCUUCAUAUAAUUAAUCAG